This 1701-nucleotide ribosomal RNA is filed under the name Salmonella enterica. RNAcentral's name for it is "partial 23S ribosomal RNA". It matches the Rfam family "Bacterial large subunit ribosomal RNA", at positions 1119 to 2803 of the family's 2925-position model. Lineage: Bacteria; Pseudomonadati; Pseudomonadota; Gammaproteobacteria; Enterobacterales; Enterobacteriaceae. The record is from RNAcentral.
UCAUUUAAAGAAAGCGUAAUAGCUCACUGGUCGAGUCGGCCUGCGCGGAAGAUGUAACGGGGCUAAACCAUGCACCGAAGCUGCGGCAGCGACACUGUGUGUUGUUGGGUAGGGGAGCGUUCUGUAAGCCUGUGAAGGUGGCCUGUGAGGGUUGCUGGAGGUAUCAGAAGUGCGAAUGCUGACAUAAGUAACGAUAAAGCGGGUGAAAAGCCCGCUCGCCGGAAGACCAAGGGUUCCUGUCCAACGUUAAUCGGGGCAGGGUGAGUCGACCCCUAAGGCGAGGCCGAAAGGCGUAGUCGAUGGGAAACGGGUUAAUAUUCCCGUACUUGGUGUUACUGCGAAGGGGGGACGGAGAAGGCUAUGUUGGCCGGGCGACGGUUGUCCCGGUUUAAGCGUGUAGGUGUGUGUUCCAGGUAAAUCCGGUUCACUUUAACACUGAGGCGUGACGACGAGGCACUACGGUGCUGAAGCAACAAAUGCCCUGCUUCCAGGAAAAGCCUCUAAGCAUCAGGUAACAUCAAAUCGUACCCCAAACCGACACAGGUGGUCAGGUAGAGAAUACCAAGGCGCUUGAGAGAACUCGGGUGAAGGAACUAGGCAAAAUGGUGCCGUAACUUCGGGAGAAGGCACGCUGACACGUAGGUGAAGUGAUUUACUCACGGAGCUGAAGUCAGUCGAAGAUACCAGCUGGCUGCAACUGUUUAUUAAAAACACAGCACUGUGCAAACACGAAAGUGGACGUAUACGGUGUGACGCCUGCCCGGUGCCGGAAGGUUAAUUGAUGGGGUCAGCGCAAGCGAAGCUCCUGAUCGAAGCCCCGGUAAACGGCGGCCGUAACUAUAACGGUCCUAAGGUAGCGAAAUUCCUUGUCGGGUAAGUUCCGACCUGCACGAAUGGCGUAAUGAUGGCCAGGCUGUCUCCACCCGAGACUCAGUGAAAUUGAACUCGCUGUGAAGAUGCAGUGUACCCGCGGCAAGACGGAAAGACCCCGUGAACCUUUACUAUAGCUUGACACUGAACAUUGAGCCUUGAUGUGUAGGAUAGGUGGGAGGCUUUGAAGCGUGGACGCCAGUCUGCGUGGAGCCGACCUUGAAAUACCACCCUUUAAUGUUUGAUGUUCUAACGUGGACCCGUGAUCCGGGUUGCGGACAGUGUCUGGUGGGUAGUUUGACUGGGGCGGUCUCCUCCUAAAGAGUAACGGAGGAGCACGAAGGUUGGCUAAUCCUGGUCGGACAUCAGGAGGUUAGUGCAAUGGCAUAAGCCAGCUUGACUGCGAGCGUGACGGCGCGAGCAGGUGCGAAAGCAGGUCAUAGUGAUCCGGUGGUUCUGAAUGGAAGGGCCAUCGCUCAACGGAUAAAAGGUACUCCGGGGAUAACAGGCUGAUACCGCCCAAGAGUUCAUAUCGACGGCGGUGUUUGGCACCUCGAUGUCGGCUCAUCACAUCCUGGGGCUGAAGUAGGUCCCAAGGGUAUGGCUGUUCGCCAUUUAAAGUGGUACGCGAGCUGGGUUUAGAACGUCGUGAGACAGUUCGGUCCCUAUCUGCCGUGGGCGCUGGAGAACUGAGGGGGGCUGCUCCUAGUACGAGAGGACCGGAGUGGACGCAUCACUGGUGUUCGGGUUGUCAUGCCAAUGGCACUGCCCGGUAGCUAAAUGCGGAAGAGAUAAGUGCUGAAAGCAUCUAAGCACGAAACUUGCCCCGAG